AUGACGUGGACACGAUGGGCCAUGGUCACCAUCGUCCUCCUGGCUCUCCAGAGAGCCCUGACAGUCCUGGUGUCUCUGGUGAUCCUGCUAUCCCUGGCAGCCCUGCUAGCCCCCAGGGCCCAGCCCCCCAUGGAGGAGGCAGCCGUGGCUGGAGGCAGUGGAGAUCCAGGUGCUGGAUCUGACUCUCCUGGAUCCUACGUGGCUUUUGAUUUGUUUUGGGAAGUGCCAGAUCAAGGCCCAAAUGUGAGUGAGGCAUCUCCUGCAGGUCUGAAGAAUGAAACUAGAUUGGGAAACAUUUCCUGGCCAUUAAUGGAACAGUCUGAAUUAAUCACUUUACUGAAGGAAACACUUCCAGUGCUGGAGCCUGAGCCUGUGGACAAGGAGACACCUCAGGAAGACCAUCAGGAAGAGCCAGUCCCUGAGGGGAACAGUGAGGCCCUUCAGCCAACAGGUGUGUUCAAGAGAUUCAGCAGUGCUGAGGACAAGAAGACAGACCCAAACACUGUGGAGGACAUGGAAAACACAGGCACAGUUGAUGCUAAAAUCACCUGGAGUGUUUUUAUAAGAGCCUUCCUCGUGUCUGUGGUCUGCAGCCUGAUUGUUCUGCUGCUUCUCAGGGUGGCCCCUGCAUGGGCAAAUGACAUAAAAAAGCGCCUCACAGCUUUGAGAGCCAAUUCUGAGCUCCUGGACAAUGAGACUGAAGAAAAGGACUUAGUGGUAGAAGUCUAA
RNAcentral lists this long non-coding RNA (729 nucleotides) under Cyanistes caeruleus (blue tit). RNAcentral describes it as "lncRNA (ENSCCEG00000006346.1)". The record is from RNAcentral. Lineage: Eukaryota; Metazoa; Chordata; Aves; Passeriformes; Paridae.